AUUGAACGCUGGCGGCAUGCUUUACACAUGCAAGUCGAACGGCAGCGCGGGCUUCGGCCUGGCGGCGAGUGGCGAACGGGUGAGUAAUGCAUCGGAACGUGCCCAGUAGUGGGGGAUAGCCCGGCGAAAGCCGGAUUAAUACCGCAUACGACCUGAGGGUGAAAGCGGGGGACCGAAAGGCCUCGCGCUAUUGGAGCGGCCGAUGUCGGAUUAGCUAGUUGGUGGGGUAAAGGCUUACCAAGGCGACGAUCCGUAGCUGGUCUGAGAGGACGACCAGCCACACUGGGACUGAGACACGGCCCAGACUCCUACGGGAGGCAGCAGUGGGGAAUUUUGGACAAUGGGGGCAACCCUGAUCCAGCCAUGCCGCGUGCGGGAAGAAGGCCUUCGGGUUGUAAACCGCUUUUGUUCGGGAAGAAAUCCUCUGGGCUAAUACCCCGGGGGGAUGACGGUACCGGCAGAAUAAGCACCGGCUAACUACGUG
RNAcentral lists this ribosomal RNA (484 nucleotides) under uncultured bacterium. Its description in RNAcentral is "partial 16S ribosomal RNA". It matches the Rfam family "Bacterial small subunit ribosomal RNA", at positions 28 to 507 of the family's 1533-position model. The record is from RNAcentral.